Molecule: long non-coding RNA, 12365 nt
Organism: Corvus hawaiiensis (hawaiian crow)
Lineage: Eukaryota; Metazoa; Chordata; Aves; Passeriformes; Corvidae
Exons: 2
Source: RefSeq, a predicted model, not a curated record
GAACAACUCUUCCAGGGGCAGUGGCCGGCCUCCCUGGGCAGCAGGGGAUUCCAGCAAGUGUAGCAAUUGAUUUCUCAGCUACAGGUGAUUCCAGCUCUUGUGAUUCAGCUCUUUGUGAAAUCACCCAAGGUGAACUCGGGGACAGAGAGACGGGAGCCUCGUAUGGCAAUUCCACAGAGGCAGCUUUUAUUGUCCAGCAGCCCCCGUGAAGGGAAGGCCAGGGACAAGGGCUCCCUGCCUGGGGCAGAAACAGGGGCUUUUAUGGGAAAGGCAGGGGGUGGGGUAGAAACCAGUGAGCCAACUGGGCACAGGCUACCAUCAUCUAGAAACAAGGCAUGCUAGGGGUGGUUCACUUUGUCACCGUGACCUGAGGAAGAUUGCUUAUCUCUGGGGAGAGUCUUUUUGGCCUCAGGCCUCUCUCCUCCAAGGGAGUGCAGAGGGCUCUUGUGCCAAGGGCUCACAGCCCUCCACAAUGGGACAUCUGAGAACUUUUAAAUGGUGCUGAAACAAGGGACAGUUGUGAAAAAUGAUGCUUGCUGAUGGUGUUCGUAUCCCUUUAAAAAAUACAUUUAAAACUUGUGUGUCUUUUGGGUACUUGUCUAAGCACAUGGAUAAGGGAAAGAAGGGGUUCCCUGUUUGCAAGGAAAAUGCUUUCUGGUAACUGGUAGGUGCAAGGGAUUCAGAUGUGUCCUGUAGGGAGUUACAAGGAGAGUGACAAAUCCAUGGCCUUGAAAGGUCCUUGACAAAUCAGAGCCAUGGCUUGACUGGGAUGUAAGAGAAACCUGUAAUGUUCUUUCCAGUCUUGAAACCUGAGUCUGAAGGCUACAGAAGCCUUGAAAUAAGUUUCCAUCAACAGCCAGGCCAAUUCCAGUUACAGCAAGGGACAGUCAGAAGAACCCAGAGAUGGAAGACCACUCAGUUACCAGGUACACUCUGUUUGAAUGCUCUGCCUGAUACAAAGCAUAUUUGUGGUGUAAAUGAGCCUUCCAUGACCCUCUUGACCUCAGCAGCUUCAUCAUGACCAGCAGCAGUGAGAGACUCUGACUGAGGCAGCCUGGCUGGGAUCCCUGCUAAUGGCACUGCUUUCCCCUAAGCCAGCUUGGUGACAGCAUCACUGGAGGGCCCACUCAAAACUUCCUUAAUUCCUGGAUGCUACCACAUUUGAAGGUGAUACAAAAUCCCUAAAUUCAGAAGCAAUUAAACCUUAACACCUUUUGUGGAAGAGUUGUGUCUUUAGCUUGCAGCAUCAGAGGAUGAAUGCUGUUUUCAGAAGGGGAACUAGUCCAUAUUUGAACUACUCCAUGUGGAUUUAACGGUGCCAUAGAAGUGAUGGCAGAAUCACACCUUCUCUCCCCUCCCCCUGACUCUUUUGUAAUGCAUCUCUGAAGCAAAGCUUACUAAGAAAAAAAAAUCAAGUGCUUAACUUUGAUCUUCAUGAACAAGAAAUUAGAAAAAGACAAGACAUAUAGGACACUUACAGUAAAACUUCUUCCUGGUUAAGUUUGAUUUUCUGCAAAUGUUUUGCUGUUCUUUGAAGCCCCAUUUUACUGCAGCUGACGUUGGAUUUCUGUAAAUCCAUACCCACAGUUUUACGCAUGAGUGAGGGAUGUGUGAUGAAGGGUGAUGGACGAAGCCACGGGACCAUCUGGAGAGCAGCUGCCACCUCACUGCUCUGAGCCAGGGUGGCUCUGAUGGCCAGACCUGGCUGCCCACUGCACCCACCUGCCCUGAGGACUGGCCUCUCCUCCACAGGCCCUGGGCAGUCCCCAGACAGGGGGCUAGAAGGCUGAGACCCCUUCCCAGGACAGCUCUGCCUCAAUUUGGUGUGUGCUGCUAGCCCAGUGGCAUCACCAUCUCACUGGAGAGUGACGCUAACAGCUCCUUUCAUGCCUGGUUUAUUUAAGGCAAAACCUACACAUUAACAUGGAAACUAACAUUUUUUUAUUUUUCUCAAUCUAUAUUGUCUGUUUUUCCCAUCUGUGCUCAGUAUCAUUGAAGCAUAGUCCUGUCAUCUGAACUUGACUUAAAAUGUUAGCAUUUGGACAGGAGGGUAUUAGAGAAGCUCUGCCUCCUUCUGCUCACCUCUGUUAAUAAUUUGCUCUAUGCCUUUUAUUUAAACUGGAUAUGUAGUAAGAUGACAGAUGUGCUUUGUGUGAAUGGAUUUCUCUCAAACAGAAAUAAUCAGCUGUCACAUGGCUCAAGCACUGUAGCAGGGACCGAAAGAGGAGUUUCAGGAGAAAAAUACAUAUAAAAAAACAAAUGGAGAGAUUGAAGCAAAAAUUCAUUCUGUGAGAAACAGUGUCUAUGUUUUGGAAAAGAAAAAUAGACAGAAAUUGUUGCACCUGGAGGUUUGAGCAAUCUUUUCUACUAUUUUUUGUGACACUGUGACAAGCAAGGAGUUGGCGGAGAUGGGGAGGAUUUAUGGAAGCAGGUGGGACAAUGUUGCAUGGUGCUUCCAGACUUGUUCUGUUGCAGGCCUUGAGCAGGGGGGAUCUUUAGGGGGCUGUACUCUGGUGUUGGUAACCCUACCCCCAUCUACCCUCAGGAAAGUUAAUUGCCUUCCUUUUCUGCUGCGGCAGUGACAGGCUCACACCCAGCGAUGAAAUGCCUUUGGUACGUUGCCUACUGUGUAAUCAAUAGCAAGGAAAUUCAAUGUGCUUGCAGUGACAAGGGGCAAAGUAAUACUUAUGGGAAGGGAAGGAAAGGUAACAGCUGUAACACCCCUGGCCUCCUCUCCCCCUGGCUGUGCUUGCCUACAGGAUGCCCACAGAAGAAAAAUGCCUGAUUGAAUAAUGUUUGCACAGAAACCAGCUGUAAAUCCCUUGGGCAGCACAGUUAGGAUGCAGUUUGUCAAGUGUGUCUUUUGUGAUUGUGGUUUAACAAGAGCUCUGCUGAUGUGUUUUUCAUCUAGCAAAAACUACAUUGCCUUUUUUUCACCCUCUGUUAGAAGACUGGCUGUGAGGAUUGCACUGAAUUGUUGAAUAAUCUCUGCUAAUGCAUAAGCAAUAUGUGCUGACUUACUUCAGGGUUGGUCCUAUUUCUUACUGAAAAACAUUUCAUAUUUAUUAGGUAAAGUAAAAAAAAAACUAUUAGUAAAGACUACAAUUCAAUACAGGGCUUCACUUUCAUUUUGCUGCUCUAUUUCCGCUCAUAAUAACGUAAAUUGGUCACUACCUUCUUAAAAAAAAAAAAAAAAAAACAAAAACCCAACAACAAAGGAUGUGCACAAUAUCCCACCAGAAACCUCUCACAAAAGAUUAAUUGCUACUUGCAGCACAGAACUCCUGCUGAUUAAGGAGGAAAAGAUUUGGUGGUGGAUUCAGGCAGACCUCUGGGGAAAAGACCUAAAUUUUAACACAAGCAUCAAGAUGCCAUCUUGAAGAGGUGGGAUGAGGGUCCUUAUUGCAAUACUCAUGUUUUCUCAUGUUGCUUUAACAUGUUCCUGUAGCUUUUACCACAAACAUUUCCUACAAAACCAUCUAAAUCCUCAGACACAGCUGGACAUACCUCCUAUCAAAUGUAGUAGAAUACAGCUGACCUGCAGGCAGGGUAAUGAGGAAGUUUGAUUGGGUGCUUAAUUAUGAGCUUCUUAAUUUUGCAAUUGGUGCAAAAUGGGUCUGCUGCCUUGGAAGGCAAGGUGCCACAGGUGGGUUUUCCACCUAUCUGCCGUGCUCUCCCUCCAACACAGACCAGCUGUGUGGGUGAAAACCAGGUUGGAGAAGCAGCUCUUAUCCCAUGGCUCAUAGUCCUGUGCUCCUGUGUGGCACUAAGCUUGCCCAUGCACUGCAGGUUACUUACCCUAUCAGCCCUUUUUCUUUAUAGCUGUGUUUGUAUCCGAGUUGCCUGGCUAUAGCUUGCUUUGUUUACCUAUAAAAAUAAAAUCGUAUUUUAAAACUAUCUGAACCUUAGAAAGUUGGUGGCUCUUUUUGCUCCUCAGAAUUUGCAUAGAUGGGUAAAUAAACAGCCAUAGGCAUGUAAAGAGUUCUUGUUCAAAACAACCAAAAAGCCUUAAGUAUCUCAAAUAUCUGAAAAUUUAACAUUUUUUCAGCUUUUUUUUUUUUUUUUGGUGUGAGUAAUAACAUUUACAUAAUCAGAGAAGAAUCUGGUGACUACAAAGUCUUUUGUUCAUGACAUCAACGCUGUCAGAGAGAAAGAUGAAAGAGCAGCUUUUUAAGAUUUUACUGAGAAGCUGUCAGAGAACUAAUCCAUCCUGAGUUGGAAAUGUCUCUUGAAGAUGCAUGCUUCUUUCCAUUACGGCGUGGUCAAAUGCCAGCCUGUUCCUUUGAGGAUUCUUUUGAAGAUUCUAAGCUAGCUAGUAGCUUGAUUUUACUCUUCCCCGACUUCUUUUUGCAGCAGAUUAGGUCAUUGAAAGCUAUGGGAACUUAGAUAUUAGAAAAAUAGAGCACAGUGUUUCAUUAUUCUGUAUUCUCAAGACAGAGCUAUUUCUUCAGUCCUGAUGCAUUUCUGCACACUGUUUAGCAGCAGUGCUUUUAGUGUAGCAGACCUGCGAGGAAUGGAGGGUGAUGGAGGAGGAGAUGAAUACUGAUGAAAUUGCAUCAAAGAAGAGCUCCGUGCAUUGCAGUGUUAGUGGUGUGUGCAUGUGUCAUUGACUUGUGCAUUUUCUGUGGUUAUCUGUAACAUGUCCUUAGAGGUGUAAAGUGUACAGCUGUAAUCCAGACCAUAUCACUGAUGUUACUGCAUUUUUUGCAUUUUUUUAUGGUUGGAACAUGAGUUCAAGGAGGACUGAACAGUAGCUGCAGAGUGUGAUGGAGACAGUCCUUCAAACUGUUUUCAUAUCACAAGCUUAUCAGAAAAUUCUGGCACUGGUGAAAGUUCAUACUCAGUGAUGUGUAAUGGCCCUUGUGCUCCACACUGAGCAAGUGUGUCUUCUUGCAGAUUUCCUCAGACCUACUUGGUUUUAGGUGGUGGACCUACCAAAAAUCUUAAAUAUAGGAACACUUGGCUUUUGAUCCCUCUAUGGUCCUUGGCCAAGUUAAGCUUCAAGAAUGUGGAGAUGUUGGAAACACAGGGACCCAGGACAACAUUUAUGGAAAUCAGCAGACCCAGUGUGCCUCUAAAUUGAGUAUGUUGAAAAAGAAAAAACUCACUCCCCAAAACAACUCUUCCCCUCCCUGCUUUUCCACAAAUUUCCCACAUCAUCAGGCUGAAGGCAGGCACAUACUCCUUGGCUUGGAGUCCUCAGAUGUGAGCCUCUUCUGUGUCUCCGAGCAAGAUUAGUCUCUCCCUCAUUUAACAAAAAUAUUUCUGCCAAACAUCAAGAGAAGAUUUGUACCCAGGUAUCAAAACAUCUUUGCAUGCACAGUAUUUGGAUCUAAAAGGGCGGGAGGCAUGUCUGCCAUUUGCAGAGAGAAAGAACAAAUCCAGCUUUGACAUGCAAAUGCUGGCUGUCUAGAAAAAAGCCCCAAACAAGCACUGCUAUCCAGAUUCAAAACUUCUGUGCCCAAAUGUCUUCUGUGUGUAGUUUUGCCAGCUGUACAGUGCCUGCAAGGUUAGAGCUCACAAGUCAGCAAGGCAUAAAAGUCCCAAGUGACGAACUCAAGCUGAAAUAUGAAGUGAAGCGUUAGGUCACCUGGGAAUUAGGGAAUAUCUAACUUGGAGCAUUUUGUUACUGCAGGCCAUGAAGUUUGAUAGGGUAGGAUGUGCCUGCAUGGCUAAACUGGGCAUCUCAAGAAUAUGGAAAUGCUGUGAUCUGCCAUUUAAAGUGGUCCUUGUGCACCAGUGUCCUUUGGGACCUUGUGAGAAGUCUUAAUCAACUAAAUCCUUUCAACAGCAAAUCUUUUAACUGUACUUCUAAACUGCAGAAAAUGUAGGACUGUACAAAGGCCCUGAUCUCCUUCAAGGUUCCUUUCAGUAGCCUCAUUCCUACUUCACUGCUGUGACACUUCAAAGCAGGAAAUCUGAUGACCCCGUGCUGCUCAGUGUUGGGCAGUUGCAGGUUUUCAAACAACAUAUCUCUAUUAUUUGGAGGCCGGGCAUCACUGAGCGGAACAGAUUUAGCUGCAGUAACCUUUUCUAAAAUUAUCCUGCUAAUAAAUUAGCCUCAGCAGAAUUGUACCAGACCUGUGUGCAAUCCCACACUGUGCUGUCUUCUGUUCCAACACACACUGGGGAAAUUCAGGGGACAAGCUUUGGACUUACACCUCAUCCAUUCAUGAUUAUUGGGAGAUGGCGGGGAAAACGCCUCAAAGAGUUUGUAAAAGGGAACAACUGUAUUCUGUUAGGAAAAAAUCGACACAGGUACCUCAGUCCCACUUAGGAACCUGAGCUGUAAAUUGCUUUCUUUGCUAUAAACUCCUUCUUCAGUCAGGCCCCAAGUCUUGCAAAUCACAGUGCUGUACCAGUGUGCAGAGUGCUUAACAACACCAUGUAAGGUGCAGGUACCCAAAAUCCUGUCUUUCUACCUGGUUUUGGGCCUUCAGAGAAGGUGCAUCUGCAGCAGGGAGUGCUAGGUAGUGGAAGAAGUUCUUCAAAUAGAGGUAUUCAUACUUUAUGUUACCCACAAGAUCUCAAAAUGUUAGUUUAUAUUUUUUAAGGCAUAAUAAUGUUCUCAUAACAAAGUUCUCAGCCUGUUUCACAUUUCCUUUCCCUUCUGUCCAAGGUUACUCCUUGCUUCAAUAUCUUCUAACAUGCAAACAAUAAACAAAAGUAAUGCAAAACUGGGAGGAUCAUAGAGAUAUUAUCACCAGAAAUUUCCAAAAGAAUCAAAUAAAAUUGGGGAUCCCCCGCUGUGUGAAAUAGAGAAUUAUGGAUUUUGUCUAUUCCUAUGUUACUAGAGUUGGUCUUCCACUUGAUUACAGAAGCAAAUGAGAAAAACAACUUGUAAAUAUCAAAUAAAAUGAGACAGCUUGAUACAAACAUUUUACAUUUAUUGGAAGAGUACAGUAAAAAGGGGACUGCAGACUCAUUAGUGGUAACUGGUCCAAAGGAGAAGACACAGGACUGUUUAAAAAAGGUCUGCAGUUUACGAGAAAACUGAAAAUCUGUUAUAUAACAGCCCAGGAAAAUAAAAAGUUAGCUUGAGUUCUAAAGUGUAACUUUAAAGUAUAUAAAAAUUGGCAAAUAAAUAAAGUUAAAAUGCAGAUCUAUUUAAAAUUAUAAAGGACCAACAACUGGCAACUGUAUAACAUACUUAUCAUUUUCAGACUUAAUUAAAAGCCAGAUAAACUCACAAAUGUUGUUUCUUUUUUAUUUUAUUUUACAUGUAUACUUAGGGAAGAAGCACCCACUUCCAGUGUUAUGUAUUAUCGAUCUGUUUCACAAAUAUAUUAUUUUUAAACAACAAAGAGCAUAAAAGGUGCUUUACCUGAUAUUAGACUCGCUGGUGCAUAUUUUGGCACAAAAUUGAGACUUGAGUAGAUACCUAAAGACAUCUGCAAAUGGUAUCUGUGCCCACUCAAGGCAGCUGGUGUCAAGUCUUGCUUCUGACGGCAGGUCAGUGAUGUGAAUUUCCCACCUUCCCCAACACCCCUGCUCUGUCUCCAGCUGCCAACAGUUACACAUAGGAAAAGCAACACAUGCAGUUUCAAAAACAGCAGUCCUACAACCCCAGCCCAAAUUUCAUCCCCAAAAGUCACUUGAACACGUAUGUAACUAUUCAGUCCUUUAACAGAAGGUACAAGGCAGGUGUUUUAAUGUUGGCUUUCACGCCCCAAAAUUUCUCUGUAGGAGUCUGCCUGCCUUUUGUGUCCUGUGUGAUGAGCCUAUAUCAUGGGGUUUUCCCUAUCACGUUUUCAGCGUUUUAGUGAAAAUUAGAUGGGAAGCUUGGUGGAAAAACAAGUUAGCUUGUGAUUUACGGGUAAUGGUACAAUUAACCAUGGAAACAGACAUGUUAAGCCGUAUCAAUUGAGACCCAGUGCAAGAUCAGUUCCCUGUACACAACAAUAAUGCAUACCUUCUGGAAUUGGAGGUCUCAGCACUUCAUACUGGGGGGGGGGGGGGUGUAUAAUUACCACUAUAAGUAAAUGUUGCAUGACACAGUGAAUUCAAAAUUUUGAAAGCAAAAUGAUGAGAAUUAACACUAUCUGAAAAGGUCUGUUAAGAAGAAGGAAAUUCACAACAAGGCUUAGGUGGAAUUAAGUCACUGCUGUUGAUUUUGAAGACGCUGUUCUAAUUUGGCCUGAUAGCAAAAUGUCAAGGAGCGUAUUUAGCUUUAUAAUUCGCCCUGUGUGGAGCAGGAUGUUCUGCACUGUACACUAGGCAGUCAAGAAUGUGGUUUCUCUGAUGUAUUUUAUGAUGUGGACAACUCAUAAUAUAGCUAGGAUAUGCAACUUCAUUAAAAAUGUGAUUUGAACAAUGUGCUUCACCUUGAUUCGCAGUUACUUCCAUUUUCAUACAAACACAUUGCCCUAGGUGUAACAUCACUACAGUAUUUCUGAGUUGAACAAAAGCAGGAGUGUAUUUGGACUUUUCUGUCACCAGAAUAACAUUUUUUGGUAAGUGAAAGGGCGCCACCUGUGGUACACGGAGCCUUCAGAAUUAGGAAGUAUUUGGGAGAUUCAACAGUACAGAUUAUUACAGCAGAGCUCAGCUGGAAGUGUAAGCUUACUGCAGCCCUCUUUAGAGAGCAGAAAGAUUCUUUGAGAAUUGAGGCAACAGCUCAGAGUUAAGUCAUUAACAUAUCAGUAAUCCAAGAAUUUUACAUUGCUACUUGCAUUAACAAUUAUGGAAUUCUUCAUAUGUUGAGAAAGACUGAGCUGACUGAAAAGAGUACUGUGCAUCUUUUUUUUAGUAAUGGAAAGUUCUGGCUCAUACUUUCAACAUCUGUAAUGUAGAAGGAAUCACUGAUCUGAUUUUUCUUUUAAAAAGCCUAAUUGCCUUAUAUUGAUGAAAAGUUUCAAUGGCUGGCUUGCCUACUGUAUUAAAACUUAAAUUAAGUACUUAUCUACAAACACUUUCAUUUCUAAAACUAGAUGAUGGUUCCAAAUAGUAGCAAUUCAGGAUUUUUUCCAAGCAUUCUCUGCUCAAUGUGAAUCCUAGGUUAUCAUACUGGUUCAGAGGAUGUAUUUAUCUAUAAACACAAAACCAAUUAACUCAAGUUGUAUUUACAAAGCAUUUCAUUCUGGGAGAUAGAGGAAGAAAGAAUCUAGUUCAUGGCUCUUCUAUGUUUUCAAUUUAUGACCUCAGUCAACUCUAUUUGAGCGUUUUAUUUAUCCAUUUUUUGUAAGUAUGCCUAACAGUUUUUCAUUUGGAGAAGGCAUAUGGAUCUGAGCUCUCUAAAUGAACUACCCUCCCAUAACUACAAUCUCAAACAGCUGCAAAACAACAAUGCUUGUAGCUAGUGACCUGAUUAGUCUUUUAUCUCACAAACCACCCCCCCAACUAAACCAUCUGAAAAUUCUAAUUUAAUUCCUGCCUAGAUGAUGCCUGAGAAAAUGGUGCUCUGAAACCAUAAUAUAGCCAAUAAUAUACAACUGCCUGAAAAAGAAACAACUCUUGGAGUUAACAUCCAAGUUCUAUACCUGGACAUAUGUUCCAGUUGAAAUUUUGUAUCAAAGAGAAGGGGACAUAAUGGUAACUAAGGGUUGUUGGUGGAGGUAGCAUUCCUGGGAGAGAACAGUAAACACAUCUUUCUGUUUUAUAGAGUAGUUGUAAGGCUGAAAUACAGAAAUUGCUUUUGCUUAUUUGACAGAGAAGCAAAAUCAAGUUGGAUUCUAGGGUUAAAGCUGUGAAAAUUUAAAGUCAGAAGCUUCCAGCUCCUAUUCUAUUUGGUACUUAUUAUAAUGAACACAAUGACUCUGCUAAGUGAAUGUGAAAAUACACAAAAAUGUUGGAGCUACCAGGCAGAUCUUGCUGGACUUUUCAAUGAGAGAAUCUUCCCUUCUUUGAUCUAAAAGUAAAGUCGGGUAUUAAUAACAUACUAAUAGGCAAUUCUGCAAUGCAUGUAGGAGCUGGAAAUCGCAAUUCAGUACCACUUUGAGUACAGAAAUGGUAGCAAUACUUGACUGUUCAUAAUGUGGCAACUGAAAGGAUUCUUCCAUUUCAACUUGGAGCUUUCCACCUUUAAACUUUAUUUAUAAUGGGAAGCUACCCCAGGGAAGAGCGACUCUUAAAAAAUCUUGAUAGGCUCCUCAGUUUGAUUCACUUUCCUAGUAAGUUGUUACUAAUGAUUAAGGACAGGACUGCUUUUUUGUUUUGUUUUUCAGUAAAUCUGCAGAAGGAAACUGGAAGAAAGCAUUUUUAAUUGAGCUGAUAUUUCAAAUUUACCAGAUCUCUUAAAAACUCAUGGUUGUUUGGAACUUCAGGAAUACUGGACUUGCCCUUUACCUUCUAAUUACUAAUUGAAGUAAUUGCUGGAAGUGAAGGACUGCAUGAAAACCAUUCUAAGAAGAAAAAAUGCAUAACUUCACUGCUAGCAGGGGUAUUGUUCCCUGACCUGCCUAGGAAGAAUGCUUCCAACAAUAUCUGAAGUCCUUUUGUGGUUUAGGGGGAAAAAAAAUUAAUUGGUAAACUCUUCCUUGAACUGCAAACUACUUAAUGCUUAGCCAUAAAAAUGUUACAAAUCCAAGUGCACUGGCUAACAAAUAUUUCUACUGCCUACAAACAGGGCAGCUGUUACAGAAAGUGGACUCUUUCAGCUUCUUCCCCUUUAUUUAAUGUUUAUAAUGCGUUAUUGUUUGUGACAAUCAAUUAUUUUCAGAACUGUUGCUUUUGAAUACCAUGUUUGAUGACACUAUUUACACACUAGGUUAGGUCUUAAAAUAUUGCACUCUCUCAAGUCUGUGAGUAGCACUGACAUUUAGAGGAUAUGACAGCAAGAAUACUGGAAACAGGGCCAGUAUUUAAUCACUGUUAAUAUUUGUGCAGCAGCACAUCUGGGAAAAUUGGAGGGGAGACAUUUUUAAAUGCUUCUGAGACUUGGUUACUCCAUAACCUUGGAAAAAUGUGGGGUUUUCUUCUUUUUUUUAUUAUCUUUACAAUGGCUGCAAAAAGGGUAACAAAAUAGUUAUAAAGAGGUAAAAAAUGGGUAACUUCAUAGUCAGUUUUAAUGAUGUGCUUGUAGGAUUAAAGUAAGCCUAACAGGUGGUCAAAGACAUGGAUGAAAAAGUACUUAAGUAUGAAUAAUCUAAUAUUUCCUUAACCUGUUUUGUCUUUCCUGUCACUAAGAAUGGGCUUUACCAGCUGCAGUUCUUACUGAUGGCCUUCUGGUGAUGCACUCCUCAAUAACAAUUUCCAAAAAAGUUUUGGGCAACUCUGCAAAAAGGCAUAUUGUUGUUAAGAAGAAAUGCAAUUUAACUGUAGUUGAUAAAUGAGAAGCUAAUUUACUGGUUUUCACAAAAACUAGAGAAAAUGCACAUUUCAAAGAUAAUGCCUUAGUGGGAUGCUAACUCUACAACACCACCUUUUGCUGAAGCAAGGUUUGUUUUCAGAUAAGAUACUUUUCACUAUUUUACAUUCCAUAAAAUAAAGAAGCUUAGGAAACCUUAUGAUUUCACUGAUGACUGGACUUGGAAGCUAGUAUGUGAUUAUUUUCUACUAAAAACAAACUAAGGAUGCUUUUUUUGCUGUCAAAGCAAUUUUCUUAAAAUAAUGAAUGCAAUUCCUAGGAAAAACAUGAAAUUAAGAGAUAACCGGUUGAAUUCCAUCUCAUGUUACAAGCUGAGGGUAACAGUAUUUAGAGUUUCCUAUGUUUAACAGUGUAAAAUAAUUCAGGUUUCCCUCAGGGUGCCAGUGUAACAACCUAACCUGAAAUCCAUACUUGCAAAAGAGACUUAAUUUUAACUUCUUUGUUAAGUUCUCUAUGGCAAACAUGGUACAUCAGCCAAAUGACCAGGAUCUGGCUAACCUGGUAGGAUUAACCUGACAAGAUUAAGUCAUCAAAAGGCCAUGCAGAGAAGAUAUUGCAGCUUUGCUUCUUGAGUGCCAUGUCUUUCUUUCAAAUUUCAUGGUAUGGCAGGCUUGGUUGUGAAUGCUCCUGUGAGAAGCCUACAGUAUCUAUAGGUAUGGAUUCCACUUCCUAAGUUGAAUAGUUUCAGCAAUUGCAAGUCAGACACGAUGAACAAGUUCUGCCACAAACUGUUAAAUUAAUGACAUGAAAAGUUUAAAUAGUUUAAAAGACAUGUACCUGUGUUGACAUUUAUUCUAUACCUAUAAAGCCAUUCUGGUAUUCUCCCAAAGUAUUACUAGUUUUGAACUGAACUGAUGCCUACAUCAGGAACAGUAACAGAUUUUCUGAAAGCUGUAGAAAUCCCCUGUUUUAAAAAGACUUUAAAUAGAACUGUGGUACAUAUUUGUGGAGGUUAACUAUUUCAGAAAAAAAUGUUAGUACUGUUUUUAUCCUUCUGCAAGAGUCUGGAUGGUGCUUGGUUAAUCUGUGACAAAUAAAACAGUAUUUUAUUUUAUCAGAA